UACGUAGGGACCAAGCGUUGUUCGGAUUUACUGGGCGUAAAGGGCGCGUAGGCGGCUUGACAAGUCACUUGUGAAAUCUCCGGGCUUAACUCGGAACGGCCAAGUGAAACUGUCAUGCUAGAGUGCAGAAGGGGCAAUCGGAAUUCUUGGUGUAGCGGUGAAAUGCGUAGAUAUCAAGAGGAACACCGGUGGCGAAGGCGGGUCUCUGGGCCGAUAUUGACGCUGAGGAGCGAAAGCGUGGGGAGCGAACAGG
This 253-nucleotide ribosomal RNA is filed under the name uncultured bacterium. RNAcentral describes it as "partial 16S ribosomal RNA". It matches the Rfam family "Bacterial small subunit ribosomal RNA", at positions 524 to 776 of the family's 1533-position model. The record is from RNAcentral.